RNAcentral lists this ribosomal RNA (265 nucleotides) under uncultured archaeon. RNAcentral's name for it is "partial 16S ribosomal RNA". It matches the Rfam family "Archaeal small subunit ribosomal RNA", at positions 717 to 982 of the family's 1478-position model. The record is from RNAcentral.
ACACGACUACAUUAGAUACCCCUGUAGUCCUAGCCGUAAACGAUACUCGCUAGGUGUCGGCCACGGUGCGACCGUUGUCGGUGCCGUAGGGAAGCCGUGAAGCGAGCCACCUGGGAAGUACGGCCGCAAGGCUGAAACUUAAAGGAAUUGGCGGGGGAGCACCGCAACGGGAGGAGCGUGCGGUUCAAUUGGAUUCAACGCCGAAAAACUCACCAGGAGCGACGGAUAUAUGAAGGUCAAGCUGAUGACUUUACCUGAUUUUCCG